AGUGAUUCUUAUCAAUCUUGCAUUGGAAAAACACGGAGCCUAUUAUUAUCAGGGAAGCAUUUGAGCCAAAGUACUAUGUACAUCACCAUGCUUUUAUGUGACUAUAUAUAUAAAUAUAACAAAUAAAGUUUUAUUGGACCAGUUCUUUGACCAUGCCAUUGGUAUCAACGUUCCAAGGUCCUGCUUCCUACCAGUUAAGGCGACAUUAGAUUUGCAGCUAGUACAGUCUGAUCUAUAUACCUUGGUUGAUGGCUUCGUUACACGUAAUUCAGCCAGAACAAAUCCAUCAAAUCCCUCAAUUGAACUUGGUCCUGAGUUCAAGAAGGUUGGGAGCUUCCUUGGUCGCUUCAAGUCCAUACCUAGCAUUGUUGAGCUUGACAGCUUGAAGGUUUCCAGUGAUGUUUGGUUCGGUUCUGGAAUUGUAC
Molecule: RNA transcript, 425 nt
Organism: Zea mays
Lineage: Eukaryota; Viridiplantae; Streptophyta; Magnoliopsida; Poales; Poaceae
Gene name: UTP--glucose-1-phosphate uridylyltransferase pseudogene
Exons: 3
Source: RefSeq, a predicted model, not a curated record